CAUUUCUUGGGCUGCUCCCGAGGCAUAUGGAGGAUCCCAGGCUAGGGGUCGAACGGGAGCCAUAGCUGCCAGCCUAUGCCAGAGCCACAGUGAUGCAGGAUCCAAGCCACAUCUGCAGCCUCCACCACAGCUCACGGCAAUGCCGGAUCCUUAACCCACUGAGCAAGGCCAGGGAUCGAACCCGUGACCUCAUGGUUCCCAGUCGGAUUCGUCAAUCAUUGAGCCACAAUGGGAACUCCCAGACUUUUCUAAUUGCUUCUCAGAGUGGAUUCUGAGGGUCCCCCAAGGCACAGCCCAGCUGGCCAGAAGGUGGACAUGAAACUGUGCUCGUUUCUAAGUCCCUAGGGCCCAGCAAUCUGCAAGCAUUAUGGGGAUGGGGCCAGGUGGAGGCAGAGAGGUCGCUGUCCCCUCCGCCUGCCUGCAAGGGUCUGAGUUGCCCAGGAGCCCCAGCGCCCUCCAUGCGUCUGAGGUAAGCAGGCAGCAUCCUGGAAGGCUCUGAGCCCCUUGGCACCUGCACAGACCGGAAUUCUGGCUCCGAGCUCUACUCAGGAUGAACAUCAGUCAGGGCAGGGCGGGCUGGCUCUGCCAAGGCAGCCCACAGCUCAUGAUUUCAGAGGCUUCAAACAAUAAGUUCAUUUCUCACAUACGCUCCAGAAACAACAUGAACCUGGCGUAAGGUGCCAGGGUGCGGAGCUUCCAUGGAGAUGUGGUACCGGUCCUGCCCACAUUGGGCUAAGGAUAUCACAGGCCACCCCUGACAUGACAGGGAGGCCACGCCAGCCCGCCUUGUGCCACAAGGCGGAGGGCCGGAAAUAUUUGGUGGAAAGCAAAAUGACCGCGACGCCAGCCAAGUGACCUCUGAGCCCAUUUCCUCUUCUGCAAAAUGAGGGCAAACAGUAUUUGAUCCCCAAUUGUUGUGAGGAUUCAAAGAGGAAACCCUUGACACAGGGGAGCACCGGGGUGAGUAAAAUAAAACUCAGAUGCCUCCCAGGUGGCCCCCAUCCGUGAUCUGACCCUCCCGCCUCCAAGGGCCCCUCCAUGGAGAGGCCAGCGGAGCCUGGACGCUGUCCCCUCCCAGAUCGGCGCUGACCCCUCGGGCAGGCAGACUUCACCCCGUGUCCUCACUUCCUGUCCCUCAAAGGAUGUCUUGUGACAGAUUCGCCCUCUGUGCUGUCAGAGGGCAGGGGCGCACAGACGGGAUGGAGCGUCUGGGGGAAACGAAGGAAAUUCAUCUCCAUCCUGUGAGAGGAGCCUUGAGCUGGUGGCCCAACCCAGGUCACCCCAUUUUGACCUCAUAAUAGCCCUGUGAUGAGCGGGUGUGGCAGUCCUCAUUUUGAGGGGAACGUCGCCAGGGGCAGUUACAUAACUUGCCCCAGGUCCCACAGCUCCAAGUAGCAGAGCUGGAACGAGCCCAGAUCUCUGACCCGGAGACGCCACCCUCCAGCUCCGUCUUCUGUGACUCGGGUUCAUGCAAACCGUAAACUCACAUGUGGCCCCGUCUCAUGUUCAGCCUUGAGGUCCUACCAUGCUGUGGUGGGAACUGCCCCCUCGGGGACGCCUAGGGCCAGCUCAGCAGUCACUGUGAGACUCUGGACACGUCUUGUCUCCUCUCUGGGCCUCAUUUCUGCACCUGAAAAUGACGCGGUUGAACCAGAGACUCUUGGGCUCCAGGUUUCUGGGACGUGGCGACUUGCCUGCACCCGCAUCCUCGGUGGCCCUAAGCCUGCAUUCUGAGAAAGCGCUGCAGAGCAGGAAGAUGGACAGCGAUCCUGUGCUUGAGGAUAUGUGGUGUAUCAAACCCUUGCUAACAUUAGAAACCAAAAAUAGUUGCUUUUUCUCUAUUUUUUCCUAAAGCCUGGGGGGGGAGUUGUAAUCCGCAGGGCUCUCUCUCCUCUGCUAUUUAUAACAAAUUCUGGUUUCCUCUAAGUCUGUCUCCUGCAGCAGAGGAAGUCAGGCUGAGCCCUCGCUGGGCUGAGGCCCCUGUGUCUGCACCCCGAUAGCCCCUGUCUGGGGUUCUGAGCCCAGGUGCCAGGCAGGGCUGGGGCUGGAAGCCAGGAACCCUGAACUCCCCAUCCCUAGAAGUUGAAGUCAGCGCUCAGAGUUCCCCCCAGUGCCAGUGCCUGGUGCUAAUUCUAAAGGGGAACCACAGGACGGAUUCAAGUUCAGAAACCACCUCUGCAUCAUUUCUAGGGCCUAAGGACAGCUCUUGGAUGUGCGGAUUUGUUACUGUAGGGUUGCUGUGAGAACGAGGGAUCCGGGCUCUUGGAUGGCUGCCCCCAGUUGCUGCUGGAGUAUUUUCAACACAGCAGCGUGGGAGCUUCCCAACUCAGAGAGGGCCCCCCAACUCCGCAGGCUCCCAUCUGCCCAGACGCCCACCGCUCCCUGCCAACAGCUCCUGUCAGCAGAGCAUGCAUGCAUCUGUGUGUAUGUGUGUGUGUGUGUGUGUGUGUUGGGGGUGGAGGGACACAUGCAUACGGGCAGCUGAUGUAGAGAAGCCUUAGGAUUUGGGAAGGAGGAAAAAGGAGAAGCAAACAGGAGGCAGAGGGGGUGGAGUGGGAAUGUACAGAGGAGGAAGCUGGGCGCUGCUGAGGCUGGACACAGGCUGACAGGGCAGGCACAUCCUAGUGCCAGCCCCCCCCCCCCCCCCCCCCCCCCCCCGCCACGCUGACUCUCUUAACUAAAUCUGCCCAGGCUGCAGUUUAAGCCUCUUCACUACCAACUCAGAUCCCUGUCUGAUUUCCUCGCCUCCAGCAGCAGCGCCCGAGAGGCAGCCGCCCAGAGGCCCUGACCUCUGGGAGGCUUGAGUUUCCAGCACACGUGCCUCCCAGCUCCUCCUGGUUCGACACCCCUGUGACCUGGAGGGAUGUGGAGGGGGUGGGGGCAGCGCUUCUGGCGCCAUUUCCCAGCAGUGAAUCUAUGAGUCAGAAGGGUCACCUACUCUCAGAAGUCAGAGGGGACUUCCUGGAGGCAGGAAACCAGAGUUGGGCCCUGGAGAAGCCCAGAGUCUUGUGGGCAGGAGGGCAGCUUUGCAAAAUACCGCACGAGCCUCCAAGAGGACUAAGCCUGGAGUCAAAGCCUGUGUCAGCCCAGCUCUGUCCACCAGCCCAGCUCCCGUCCCUGCACAGCUACUGGAAGGGAUCUGGAAAGCCUGGAACCGGAUGCAAAGUUCAAAUCCGGGAUCUGCCGCUUAUAUGCUGGGUGAGACUCAGUUUCCCCAUCAGCAAAAAUUAAAAAGAAUACAGCCUAGCUCACAAGGUCAUGAGCAUGAAAUGAGAACAUCCACGUCGGGCUCCUUGCUGGUUGGAGAAGCUCCUCUCAUAUUAGUCUCCGCCCAUCUCUCACUUUGGUUGGAUGGACUCAACACUCUGCUGGCCUCCUGCCCCGGGAGGGGCAACUGCUGGCCCCAGAGAGCCCGUCCUCCAGAUUCAAAUGCUAGUGAAAGGUGUGGGGUCCCCCCCAGGACCUUCCCUAUCCCCCUGCCCCUCCUCCAUCCUGGGAAACUGCUGGCAGCUGCCGCCUGUUUGCCAGAGGAUGGGGUGGAGGUGGGGAAUGGGUUUGCUCUUGAAAUUACUUUGGUUUGGGGGCUACGGAUGGAGCAGUCAUCUGUGGGGUGGGUGGGGGGAGGGAACGAGAGGAGAGUGGCACCCCAGACACUGCUCAUCCCCUAACCCACAGGCUUUUCAAAAUCUCCGAUGUGGUUUCAUCAGCUGAGGGUGAUGCAAGAGGCCUGGAGCCAGGCUCCCCUUCCUCCCUUCCCCUAGAGAGCUCCUUCCACAUCUGGAGCUGCAGCUGGGUCCUCCUCUUGGGCUCCUUCCAGGGAAGGGAGCUGGCUGAAGUGAGAAAAGGGAGGGCAGCUGGUGAGGGGCCCCGUGAAUGGCCCCAAUGUUGGAGGUGGGGGGCAGGGAGACGGGCGAGCUCAGAGGGAGGAGAGGGGGACUGGAAAGGCACCUCCGACUUUCCAGGGCAGUCUCCUCCAUCACCGGGCCCGGGGCUCCCUUAGUCUUUAAAACCCACUUGAAGGCAGAAGGCAGCAGCCCUCAGUACCCCCCUCCCACUGCCUCCCCCUCAGCCUCUACUCAGGUGCCUGGAGCUGAGUACUCCCUUUGUUUCUGUCCCCCAGGGGCAGCUCAGGCCUCCCACACUUACCCUCUGCCCCAAGGCCACUCAAGCAAAGGGGUAGGGGGAAGGGGGUCAUCUAUGGGUCAAAAAAGUCACUGGAGCCUCGUGGUCUCGCCGAAGGGAGGGAGGGGACAUCGGGGCUAGGAACUUGGCCCCAGAUCAACCUGAGAUGAACUUUAAAAAGCUGCAGGGUGUGGGUGGAGGGAAUUUCAGUGAGACAGUAGCAAGAAACCCCCUCCGUAAAAGUUGGCAAUUCACUGUAAUACAUGCAGAAGGGAGGCUUUCCUGGCGGGCGCCUUCAGAACACAAAACCGCCAGUCGCUGGGAGACGCUCAGCAGAGAAGCCCUAGGCCGGGAGACCGGGUUCUUACCCACGCUUAGCCACUAACUCCUGUGUGACCUUGGUAGUUCCCCUCUCUACGUCCGGGCUUCCGCAUUUAGGAGCGGGGGUCCCACAGAGGCUGCAGGUGUGCAUCCCUGGGGGCCUAGGCUCCAGCGUGGUCAAUUCUCGGCCGGCGUCCUUCCAAGCCCCAACCCUGGCCAUCCAACCAACCCCCCCAACAAGUGC
RNAcentral lists this long non-coding RNA (4687 nucleotides) under Sus scrofa (pig). RNAcentral describes it as "lncRNA (ENSSSCG00040050792.1)". The record is from RNAcentral. Lineage: Eukaryota; Metazoa; Chordata; Mammalia; Artiodactyla; Suidae.